GGCUUCGUGGUCGAGUGGUAAAGACACUUGCCUCUUACUCUGGAGUCCUUGGUUCGAUCCCCGGUCGAAAAGCUA
This is a non-coding RNA of Rhamnusium bicolor, 75 nucleotides long. The record is from the annotation of a GenBank genome assembly. Lineage: Eukaryota; Metazoa; Arthropoda; Insecta; Coleoptera; Cerambycidae.